Non-coding RNA from Kickxella alabastrina, 101 nucleotides. Lineage: Eukaryota; Fungi; Kickxellomycota; Kickxellomycetes; Kickxellales; Kickxellaceae. The record is from the annotation of a RefSeq genome assembly.
GCUCCAUUAGCUCAGCUGGUUAGAGCGCCGUGCUUAUAGUGCAACACAAACACUAUGUUAGAGUCACGCGGAUGUCGCCAGUUCGAUCCUGGCAUGGAGCA